AUGUCUAUGCAAUUUCAAGAUGAUACAGACGGUAUACCUCCUUCUGAGGCUGAAAGUAGGAAUGAAAGGCCCCAAAGGAUAAAGCACCCUUCAGCCAAGAUGCUAGCCCAUCUAAUAGACGAAAAGGAGCUCCUCCAUGUGAGGUUAGGUUCGGCAUGGGAGCGCAUCACAACAUUAAUGGACAGAAUUGAGAGCUUGGGUAUUACAAGGGUGCCAUCCAUAUUACAGACAGACCUUGAAGAGACCUUCGGUAUUUGGAGGGGUUUGGUGUCUAAGAUAGUCCAGGUCCUCGAGCGCAUUAACGCCAAGGAUUCAGAGUUAGAAAUAGUGAGUGUCUUAGCUGACACUAAUGAGAAAGAAAAUAAGGUGAGGGCAAUUCUAGAUGCCUUGGAAUUUAGUUCUCCAUCUGUUAAUCUAAGGUCUGAGCCAAAAGGAAAUCAGUCUUCCUUAAGCAGCCAUGAGACCAAUCUUUUAAAAUCACCUGCUGUGGCACUUAGUCUUAAGUCCAACCGCUCUAGCCAGGUAUCUAAACUAAGGGAGUGUGCAUCAUCUAAACAUAGCCACUCUAGCAAGUCUUCUGCUGCUGGGAGUGCCAUCUCUUCCCUAGCUGCCUUGCACAUUAAGGAGGCUGCACGUCUAGAGCUAAAGAGCAAGGUAGCGGGGGCGGAGGCUGAUGCUAAGGCAGCUGAUCUCACCCUUCCCUUUAAAGAAGAAGAGCAACGACUGCAAAUAGAACAGGCCCGUAGACAAAGCGAAAUGCAAAUAGAACAGGCCCGUAGACAAAGCGAAAUGCAAAUAGAACAGGCCCGUAGACAAAGCGAAAUGCAAAUGGAACAGGCCCAAAGGCAAGGUGAAAUAGAAAUGCUUAGAAUAAGGAUGGAUGCUACUGCCAAAAAGGUAAGGGCUGAGACUUUGGCCAAGGCCCUAAUUGAGCCACUCACAGAAGAAAAUGUAAGUCAGUUGCCGAAGCAGGACCCUUCUUCCAAGGUGCUUGUGCAUCUUAAUAGCUUAAACAGCCAGUUUUCGGAUGAGGAACAGGAAGACUUCUCUCCUUACCCAGAGCAGGGCCCCAAAGUCACUUUUGAGUUUCCUGCAGAGCAGAGCGUCAUAGCGGGGAGCUCACCCUUGCUCGAGCUACCUGUGCCUCCUGCUAAAUCCCUAGGUCAGUCAAUCAGGGCCUCAAGGCCGAGUGCUAGUUGGCCCUUACAGACAGCUGCACAGGGAGCCACCGAUUCGUCAGUGGUCGAUGUCAUCCCUCCAAGAGGCCAAAGGUUGACGCAAGGUGCACGGUGGGAGUCCACUCCACAACAGCAAACUCCUCAAUUGUUCCCUUCGACGCCAGAGUCCCAGCUUGUCUCCAUCAUCAGAAGCCCCAGAAGAGAUCUUAAGGACAAGGGUGUCGAAAAGUUUUCGGACAAGCCUGAGGAAUUUCUUCUCUGGAAGGCCACCUUCCAGAGAGCAAUCAGAGACUUAAAGUUAUUGCCUGAGGAAGAACUGACUCUUCUGGCUGCAUGGUUGGGCCCAGCCUCAUCCUCACAAGUUAAGAAGAUCUACGCAGCCCACGUAGCCGAUCCCGACAAAGCCCUGGAAAAGGCCUGGGCCAGGUUGCAGCAGAGGUAUGGGGCCAGCACAGAGAUUGAAGCAUCUCUUAUGGACAAGCUCCAAAGGUUCCCAGCUUUAAAACUCAAAGACUUCAAACUCUUGUGGGACCUCAGCGAUCUCCUUACGGAAUUAGAGUCGGCCAAGGAGAAUCCAGAACUGCCCGGUUUGAAGUGCCUCGAUCAGCACCUGUCCCAGAGGCAGAUCUUGACCAAGCUGCCCUUCACUUUGCAAGAACGCUGGGGACAGGAGGUCUUCAACUACAAGGAGGCCCACUCCCAGGCAUACCCUCCAUUUUCUCAUUUGGUCCAGUUCAUCACCAGGGCGGCCAGAGAAAGGAAUGAUCCGCAGACGGGCCUCCCCACCUUAUACCAAGGGACCCAGCCAGAGAAGGCACCUAAAGUGGAGAAAAAACCAUCCAGAGAGGCCAAAAGACCGGUUAGUGUUAAGGCUGUUGAAACUCAGCACAGGGCCAACGAAUCCAAGUCAGAGGUGAAGGAGGUGCUCUGCCCCAUUCACCAAAAGCCUCACAGUUUGGCCAACUGCCGGGAAUUUGGCAAGAAGCCUUAUAAAGAAAGACAACAGAUUGUACAGAAGCUGGGCAUAUGUUUUAGGUGCUGUGGAGCAACUCUUCACUUUGCAUCCAACUGCAAAGAGGACGUCAAAUGCGCAAGGUGUAACAGCCUUAAGCAUUGCACCGCGAUGCACAACUCUGACGCUGUCUCCCGCGCCAAAGGGGACACGUCUUCCAAAGAAGGGUCAUCUACUGAAGCCACCAACAUGCAGACCGCGUCACGGAUGCAGGAGGAUGCUCCAUCGGUCGCCUGUACUGAACUAUGCUCUGACGUGCACCAGUUCAGAGUCUGCCAUCCCAUCUGCCUAGCAGAUGUAUAUCCAGCCAGAAGACCUUGGCUUAAAAAGAGACUUUACAUGGCUUUGGAUUCACAAAGCGACGCCUCCCUGGCGACUCCAGAGUUUUUCCAACUGUUUGACAUAAAAACCCAGACGGUCGACUACACCAUGUCCACCUGUGUAGGGAAGAAGAAGUUGCAGGGUCGCAUAGCAUCCGGCUUUGUUGUCUCCUCUUGUGACCAGAAGAGACUGUUCGAGUUACCAGACCUCAUUGAGUGUUCCUCUAUUCCCCGGAACAAAAGGCAGAUUGUCACCAGAGAAGUCGUGGAAGCCCAUCCUCACUUGCGAACGCUGAAGAACGCCUUACCUGCUUUCCGUCCAGAUGUGGACAUUGCCCUUCUGCUUGGUGCGGACUGUCCGAACUUGUUCUAUGUGAACGACCAAGUUAAGGGACCUCCAGGGGCGCCCAUUGCUCAGCUGCUACCACUAGGCUGGACAGUUACAGGCCCAGUGUGCAUAAAUAGGAUGCACCCUCCAUCGUCGGUGGGCACUCGUCAAGCGCACGUGCUUCAAGGCAGUCGCCCCACACUAAUGCAUAGCUGUUUGAGUCGUAUCUCGGUCUAUUGUCAGGGGAUAACACCAGAGUAUUCUUCCAUCUUUGAAGUCUCCGAAAGGGAUGAAACUACAGCGCUUUCCAAAGAUGAACAGAGGUUUUUAGAGAUCAUGAACUCUCAAGUUUCCCGGAGUCCCGAGGGAAAUUGGAUAGCCCCUCUGCCUUUUAAAGCAGAAAAACCCACUUUGCCAAACAACAGGCAUGUGGCAGAAAAUAGACUCUGGUCACUGAAGAAGAAGAUGCAGAAAGACCCCAAGGUAAAGGAGCAAAUCGUUGGCUUUAUGGAAGACAUGUUCCAAAGUAACUACGCCGAGGUCUCUGAUCAAAGUAAGGUAAUGAUAGAACCCACCACAGAACUUCACAUCUUCUGUGACGCAUCUGAGCGAGCUAUAGCAGCUGUGGCAUACAUGCGACAAAAGGACAGAGAUUUUUGUCACGCAGGAUUCAUCAUGGCAAAGGCUAAAAUAGCUCCUAUGGGAACUUCAAUACCCCGGCUGGAAUUGUGUGCAGCAGUUCUUGCUGUCCAGCUCUGGCGCAUCAUCCAGCAAGAGAUAGGAGACUUGUUUCAAGAUGUCCAUUUCCACACGGACAGUACAGUUGUGCUUGGUUACAUCAACAACACAACCAAAAGAUUCAAGGUGUAUGUGGCUAAUAGAAUCAACAACAUUCUAUCCAGUUCUACGCCUAGCCAGUGGCACCACGUCGCCACCAGCAACAACCCAGCUGACAUCGCUUCCAGAGGAGCUUCAACUCAACGAGUGUUAAGUUCAAGUUGGCUGACAGGCCCCAGAUGCUUGACCGAAGUCAAUUUUCCAUCAGCCUUUUCUCCCACCGAAAAUACAGAAUUGCCCGAGUCCGUUCCAGAGGUGAAAGUUUGCAAGAUGACCACAGAAAUCAAGAUGGGCCAAAGAUCUUGCCUGGAACCACACCGUUUUGAAUGUUUUUCGGAGUGGCACAGUCUUCUUAGAGCAGUUGCUAGGCUUAUACAUCGUUUAGCUUGCAAAGAUAGUGAGCCUUUACAGGUCCAGGAUAUGAUAAAGGCUAAGAGCGUCAUAUUCAAGUCAGUACAGAGAUCUGCUUUCAAGCAGGAAAUAGCUAGGCUAGAGCAAGGGCUCAACAUCCCUAAUCAAAGUCUUCUAAAUGAGUUAAACCCAUUUCUAGACAAGGAGGGUAUUUUGAGAGUUGGAGGAAGGUUAGCCAAAGCUAAACUCAAGGCGUGCAUAAAAAACCCCAUCAUCAUACCCCCUAAUAGUCACACUGCAUUGCUGCUCGUUCGGCAUCACCAUGAAAGGAUCCAUCAUCAGGGUAGAACUCUAACUGAGGCAGCCCUUAGAAAUGAAGGUCUGUGGGUAGUUAAUGCCAAAAGGUUGGUCAACAGUUGUAUUUUCAAAUGUGUUAAAUGCAGGCGCCUUAGGCGAAACUGUCAAAGUCAGUUGAUGGCAGAACUACCUCAGGAUAGGACUUUGACAGACCCACCCUUUUCCCAUGUGGGAAUCGAUGUGUUUGGUCCUUGGGAGGUUGUCACUAGGAAAACCAGGGGUGGUGUUGUAAAUAACAAGAGGUGGGCAGUUUUGUUUACUUGUUUAGUAAUACGAGCUGUCCAUAUAGAAGUCAUAGAAGGGAUGGACACUUCAUCAUUUUUAAACGCAUUAAAAAGGUUCAUAGCCCUCAGAGGGCCAAUUAAGUCAAUUCGGUCGGACUGUGGCACCAAUUUUGUAGGUGCGACCAAAGAACUCAAUUGUGUGUCUAGGUUUGGGAGAGACCCAAAGGUUCAGAACUUUACGAAUACUGAACAAAUUAUGUGGACUUUCAAUGUUCCUCACGCCUCCCACAUGGGUGGUGUUUGGGAGAGGAUGAUUGGUAUUAGUCGCAAAAUCCUUAAUGCCAUGCUUUUGAGUCAUAGGUCAUUGACGCAUGAUGUUUUGGUGACACUUAUGGCGGAAGUUACCGCAAUUAUCAACAACCGGCCGCUGGUUCCCCUUACCAGUGACCCUGAGAACUUACAACCACUGACUCCUACACUUAUUUUGACACAAAAGGUGCCAGGAUGGAAGGACAUCAUGUUGCCAGUUCCGGACGGAACUCACCGUGCCCUGUGGAAACAGGUGCAGUCCUUGGCCAACCACUUUUGGAAAAGGUGGAAAGCUGAGUACUUAAGCCAGCUUCAAGCUAGAAGAAUCUGGCAAAGCCCACAGGACAACAUUGAGGUUAACAACGUUGUGUUGUUAAAGGACAAAGACUUGCCCCGCCAUGCAUGGCCCAUGGGCAUUGUAUUAAAGACCUUUCCUUGCCCGGACGGUAAGGUCAGGAAAGUUCAAUUAAAGACUUGCAACAGAGGCAAAGUGUCCAUUUUGGACAGACCAAUUAGUGACCUCGUGUUGCUUAUUGGAGAUGUUUAA
RNAcentral lists this long non-coding RNA (5463 nucleotides) under Anolis carolinensis (green anole). RNAcentral describes it as "lncRNA (ENSACAG00000044022.1)". The record is from RNAcentral. Lineage: Eukaryota; Metazoa; Chordata; Lepidosauria; Squamata; Anolidae.